GUGUGUGAGCAGGCAUCUUCUCAGCCUACACGUGGAUUCCUAAAUCUGCAGGCUGGUUAGAUGGUUGUCAUGCAUUC
This 77-nucleotide microRNA precursor is filed under the name Columba livia (rock pigeon). RNAcentral's name for it is "microRNA cli-mir-456 precursor". Its record names the gene cli-mir-456. It matches the Rfam family "mir-456 microRNA precursor family". The record is from miRBase by way of RNAcentral. Lineage: Eukaryota; Metazoa; Chordata; Aves; Columbiformes; Columbidae.